RNAcentral lists this ribosomal RNA (422 nucleotides) under uncultured eukaryote. Its description in RNAcentral is "SSU rRNA". It matches the Rfam family "Eukaryotic small subunit ribosomal RNA", at positions 567 to 990 of the family's 1831-position model. The record is from RNAcentral.
CCAGCAGCUGCGGUAAUUCCAGCUCCAAUAGCGUAUAUUAAAGUUGUUGCAGUUAAAAAGCUCGUAGUUGGAUUUCUGGCAGGAGCGUCCGGUCUCACACUCAGUGCGGGAACUUGGAUGUCUCUGGCCAUCUUUGGGGAUAUCCUGUUUGGCAUUAAGUUGUCGGGCAGGGGAUACCCAUCGUUUACUGUGAAAAAAUUGGAGUGUUUAAAGCAGGCUUAUGCCGUUGAAUAUAUUAGCAUGGAAUAAUAAGAUAGGACUUUGGUGCUAUUUCGUUGGUUAAUGGGACCGAAGUAAUGAUUAAAAGGGACAGUUGGGGCCGUUUAUAUUUCGUUGUCAGAGGUGAAAUUCUUGGAUUUACGAAAGAUAAACUUCUGCGAAAGCAUUCGGCAAGGAUGUUUUCAUUGAUCAAGAACGAAAGU